UUUUAUAAUUAUAUUUAUAAAUUUAUAUAAUAUAUUUUAAAUAAUUAAAAUUAAAAUAUUUUAUAUAAUUAUUAAAUUUAUAAUAAAAUUAUUAAUAAAAAAUCUAUUUUAUGUGAAUUAUUAAUUAAAAUAUAUAAAGUUAAACGGGUUUAAGCAUCAUUAUGGCAAUAAUAAUUGAGUUUGGGAUGAGUUUAUGUAGUUUAGGAUAAAUUUUAAUCGGGUUUGAGACAAGUUCGGGUAUUAAAAAUACUAACCAAGUUUGGAUAUAUGGUGAAUUUUGCGGGCGCCCUACUCGUUGCAUUUCUAACUAUAAAUAAUUAUGUCUUCUAGGUAUUUUAUUAGGAGAAUUUAUUAUGAUAUUAUUG
Molecule: unclassified non-coding RNA, 365 nt
Filed under: Hevea brasiliensis (rubber tree)
Lineage: Eukaryota; Viridiplantae; Streptophyta; Magnoliopsida; Malpighiales; Euphorbiaceae
Source: RNAcentral